GCCGGGCAUGGUGGUGCGUGCCUGUAAUCCCAGCUACUUAGGAGGCUGAGGCAGGAGAAUCGCUUGAACCCGGGAGGUGGAGGCUGUAGUGAGCCAAGAUUGCACCAUUGCACUCCAGCCUGGGUGACAGAGCGAGACUCCGUCUCGA
This 148-nucleotide small RNA is filed under the name Pongo abelii (Sumatran orangutan). RNAcentral describes it as "Metazoan signal recognition particle RNA (ENSPPYG00000040470.1)". Lineage: Eukaryota; Metazoa; Chordata; Mammalia; Primates; Hominidae. The record is from Rfam by way of RNAcentral.